Molecule: ribosomal RNA, 497 nt
Filed under: uncultured bacterium
Lineage: Bacteria
Description: partial 16S ribosomal RNA
Rfam family: Bacterial small subunit ribosomal RNA
Source: RNAcentral
GAUGAACGCUGGCGGCGUGCCUAAUACAUGCAAGUCGAGCGAACAGAUGAGGAGCUUGCUCCUCUGACGUUAGCGGCGGACGGGUGAGUAACACGUGGAUAACCUACCUAUAAGACUGGGAUAACUUCGGGAAACCGGAGCUAAUACCGGAUAAUAUAUUGAACCGCAUGGUUCAAUAGUGAAAGACGGUUUUGCUUUCACUUAUAGAUGGAUCCGCGCGGCAUUAGCUAGUUGGUAAGGUAACGGCUUACCAAGGCAACGAUGCGUAGCCGACCUGAGAGGGUGAUCGGCCACACUGGAACUGAGACACGGUCCAGACUCCUACGGGAGGCAGCAGUAGGGAAUCUUCCGCAAUGGGCGAAAGCCUGACGGAGCAACGCCGCGUGAGUGAUGAAGGUCUUCGGAUCGUAAAACUCUGUUAUUAGGGAAGAACAAAUGUGUAAGUAACUAUGCACGUCUUGACGGUACCUAAUCAGAAAGCCACGGCUAACUACGUG